RNAcentral lists this ribosomal RNA (463 nucleotides) under uncultured bacterium. RNAcentral's name for it is "bacterial SSU rRNA". It matches the Rfam family "Bacterial small subunit ribosomal RNA", at positions 26 to 507 of the family's 1533-position model. The record is from RNAcentral.
AGGACGAACGCUGGCGGCGUGCCUAACACAUGCAAGUCGAACGAAGAAUGUUUUCGGAAUAUUCUUAGUGGCGGACGGGUGAGUAACGCGUGAACAAUCUGCCCCGUACAAAGGGAUAGCCUCGGGAAACCGGGAUUAAAACCAUAUAACGCUUUAGUACCGCAUGGUAAUAAAGUCAAAUCGAUUAAGAGGUAUGGGAUGAGUUCGCGUCUGAUUAGCUAGUUGGUGAGGUAAGGGCUCACCAAGGCGACGAUCAGUAGCCGGCCUGAGAGGGUGAACGGCCACACUGGAACUGAGACACGGUCCAGACUCCUACGGGAGGCAGCAGUGGGGAAUAUUGCACAAUGGAGGGAACUCUGAUGCAGCGACGCCGCGUGAGUGAAGAAGGUCUUCGGAUCGUAAAACUCUGUCCUUGGUGAAGAAAAGGACGGUAGCCAAGGAGGAAGCCCCGGCUAACUACGUG